This 430-nucleotide ribosomal RNA is filed under the name Pseudomonadota bacterium. RNAcentral's name for it is "Proteobacteria bacterium partial 16S ribosomal RNA". It matches the Rfam family "Bacterial small subunit ribosomal RNA", at positions 355 to 776 of the family's 1533-position model. The record is from RNAcentral. Lineage: Bacteria; Pseudomonadati; Pseudomonadota.
UGGGGAAUAUUGGACAAUGGGGGGAACCCUGAUCCAGCCAUGCCGCGUGUGUGAAGAAGGCCUUAUGGUUGUAAAGUACUUUAAGCGAGGAGGAGGGUACUGGUAUUAAUACUACCAGGUACUGGACGUUACUCGCAGAAUAAGCACCGGCUAACUCUGUGCCAGCAGCCGCGGUAAUACAGAGGGUGCGAGCGUUAAUCGGAUUUACUGGGCGUAAAGCGUGCGUAGGCGGCUAAUUGAGUCGGAUGUGAAAUCCCCGAGCUUAACUUGGGAAUUGCAUUCGAUACUGGUUAGCUAGAGUGUGGGAGAGGAUGGUAGAAUUCCAGGUGGAGCGGUGAAAUGCGUAGAGAACUGGAGGAAUUCCGAUGGCGAAGGCAGCCAUCUGGCCUAACACUGACGCUGAGGUACGAAAGCAUGGGGAGCAAACAGG